CUAUGACUUAUAGUCAUGGCGGAAGGAG
This 28-nucleotide non-coding RNA is filed under the name unclassified sequences. Its description in RNAcentral is "L31-Firmicutes ribosomal protein leader". It matches the Rfam family "L31-Firmicutes ribosomal protein leader". The record is from RNAcentral.